Molecule: ribosomal RNA, 374 nt
Filed under: uncultured organism
Description: partial 16S ribosomal RNA
Rfam family: Bacterial small subunit ribosomal RNA
Source: RNAcentral
GUAGGUGGCAAGCGUUGUCCGGAAUUAUUGGGCGUAAAGCGCGCGCAGGCGGUUCUUUAAGUCUGAUGUGAAAGCCCACGGCUCAACCGUGGAGGGUCAUUGGAAACUGGAGAACUUGAGUACAGAAGAGGAAAGCGGAAUUCCACGUGUAGCGGUGAAAUGCGUAGAGAUGUGGAGGAACACCAGUGGCGAAGGCGGCUUUCUGGUCUGUAACUGACGCUGAGGCGCGAAAGCGUGGGGAGCAAACAGGGAUUAGAUACCCUGGUAGUCCACGCCGUAAACGAUGAGUGCUAAGUGUUAGGGGGGUUUCCGCCCCCUUAGUGCUGCAGCUAACGCAUUAAGCACUCCGCCUGGGGAGUACGGCCGCAAGGUUG